Molecule: ribosomal RNA, 515 nt
Filed under: uncultured bacterium
Lineage: Bacteria
Description: bacterial SSU rRNA
Rfam family: Bacterial small subunit ribosomal RNA (bases 74-515)
Source: RNAcentral
GCACGGCCGGCUCGCAUGCGAACGGCACGUAUAAAAGUGGCCGCCAGGUGACUACAAGCGAAACGAUAAACGCAAAGGGAUUUGCGGGGCCCGACAAGCAGCGAGCUUGUGGGCAAAGCGCCGAAACACGAAGAACCCAACCCGGGACACGACAAGACGCGAGCACGCCGCCGAAAAACGGACCGCCAGCGAGGGUGCGCCACAGGUGCUGCAGCUGCGGCUCUAGCCCCGGCGAAAAAGUCGGGAUCAGCCCCGCAACGAGCGAAAACCCCGCGAAGGUAGAUACCCGUAGACAACCGAGAACUGACCCGAGGACCGGCGGAGGAAGGCGCUGACGACGAAAAGUCAGCAUGCCCUACGCCCAGGCGACACACACCGCUAGAAUGGCCACGAGAAGGCGUCGGGAAGGCGAAAGGGGGAGCUAAUCGCCUAAACGUGGUACUGAGUGCAGAGCGGGGGCUGCAACUCGCCCGCGUGAAGGCGGAGGUGGCGAGUAGCCGCGUAACGGCAGAAGU